AUUAGUGGCGAACGGGUGAGUAACUCGUGGGCAAUCUGCCCUGCACUCUGGGACAAGCCCUGGAAACGGGGUCUAAUACCGGAUACUGACCCGCUUGGGCAUCCAAGCGGUUCGAAAGCUCCGGCGGUGCAGGAUGAGAACGCGGCCUAUCAGCUUGUUGGUGAGGUAAUGGCUCACCAAGGCGACGACGGGUAGCCGGCCUGAGAGGGCGACCGGCCACACUGGGACUGAGACACGGCCCAGACUCCUACGGGAGGCAGCAGUGGGGAAUAUUGCACAAUGGGCGAAAGCCUGAUGCAGCGACGCCGCGUGAGGGAUGACGGCCUUCGGGUUGUAAACCUCUUUCAGCAGGGAAGAAGCGAAAGUGACGGUACCUGCAGAAGAAGCGCCGGCUAACUACGUGCCAUCUGCCGCGGUAGAGGGUAUGGCGCGACCGUUGUCCGGAAUUAUUGGGCGUAAAGAGCUCGUAGGCGGCUUGUCACGUCGGUUGUGAAAGCCCGGGGCUUAACCCCGGGUCUGCAGUCUAUACGGGCAGGCUAGAGUUCGGUAGGGGAGAUCGGAAUUCCUGGUUGUAGCGGUGAAAUGCGCAGAUAAUCAGGAGGAACACCGGUGGCGAAGGCUGAUUCUCUGGGCCGAUACUGAACGCUGAGGAGCGAAAGCGUUGUGGAGC
This 670-nucleotide ribosomal RNA is filed under the name Streptomyces coelicolor. RNAcentral's name for it is "bacterial SSU rRNA". It matches the Rfam family "Bacterial small subunit ribosomal RNA", at positions 91 to 769 of the family's 1533-position model. The record is from RNAcentral. Lineage: Bacteria; Bacillati; Actinomycetota; Actinomycetes; Kitasatosporales; Streptomycetaceae.